GGUGGCUACGAGUUGACCAUAGUACGAGUGGUAAGUUUUGUCAUCUAGGCAACAACCAAGGUAGAACUGAAAAAUUGAGGGUUAGAGAAGCUGGUGAGUUGCAAUGACCUGCGCCAAAUGAGACAAAGCUCAGAAGUCAACAAGGGCCAGGUAAUGUGAAAGCUAAUGCAGCGGAUUAUGAGAGUGUUGAAGCUGAUCAACGGAACCUGCUAUAUAAAGCUAAUGAAUUAAAUCAACAAAAUGUGCAAUCUAAAACUGCAGUAGUUGAACACAAACAACAGGGUGGAGUGGAGAAACUUGGCCAAUGCUGCCUUGAAGAUAUCCGAGAUUACAAGCAUGGUGGAAAAAACAACUGAAGUUAGGAGAAUGAAGGAGGAAUUGCAAAGAUACACUUUAAUUCAGUUUAGAAAAACCAAACCCCCGCAGCAUCGCGCGGGAAGGAUUUU
Molecule: long non-coding RNA, 446 nt
Organism: Rosa rugosa (rugosa rose)
Lineage: Eukaryota; Viridiplantae; Streptophyta; Magnoliopsida; Rosales; Rosaceae
Exons: 4
Source: RefSeq, a predicted model, not a curated record